RNAcentral lists this ribosomal RNA (253 nucleotides) under uncultured bacterium. RNAcentral describes it as "partial 16S ribosomal RNA". It matches the Rfam family "Bacterial small subunit ribosomal RNA", at positions 524 to 776 of the family's 1533-position model. The record is from RNAcentral.
UACGUAGGGGGCUAGCGUUGUCCGGAAUUAUUGGGCGUAAAGAGCUCGUAGGCGGUGUGUCGCGUCGGCUGUGAAACCCUGAGGCUCAACCUCAGGCCUGCAGUCGAUACGGGCGGACUUGAGUUCGGCAGGGGAGACUGGAAUUCCUGGUGUAGCGGUGAAAUGCGCAGAUAUCAGGAGGAACACCGGUGGCGAAGGCGGGUCUCUGGGCCGAAACUGACGCUGAGGAGCGAAAGCGUGGGGAGCGAACAGG